Molecule: ribosomal RNA, 485 nt
Filed under: uncultured bacterium
Lineage: Bacteria
Description: partial 16S ribosomal RNA
Rfam family: Bacterial small subunit ribosomal RNA
Source: RNAcentral
GAUGAACGCUGGCGGCGUGCUUAACACAUGCAAGUCGAACGGGAUCCCAGGGGUGCUUGCACUUUUUGGUGAGAGUGGCGAACGGGUGAGUAACACGUGAGUAACCUGUCCUUUUCUUUGGGAUAAGCAUUCGAAAGGGUGUUUAAUACCUUAUGUUCUGUCUGCCUCGCAUGGGGUGGGUGGGAAAGGCUUUGGCCGGAUUUGGGUGGGCUCGCGGUCUAUCAGCUUGUUGGUGGGGUGAUGGCUUACCAAGGCUUUGACGGGUAGCCGGCCUGAGAGGGUGGUCGGUCACAUUGGGACUGAGAUACGGCCCAGACUCCUGCGGGAGGCAGCAGUGGGGGAUAUUGCACAAUGGGCGAAAGCCUGAUGCAGCGACGCCGCGUGGGGGAUGAAGGCCUGCGGGUUGUAAACUUCUUUUGCUCUGAACAAGGCAUGCCAGUGGGUGUGUUGAGUGUAGGGGUUGAUUAGCGCCGGCUAACUACGUG